AGCGUAGACGGAGUGGCAAGUCUGAUGUGAAAACCCGGGGCUCAACCCCGGGACUGCAUUGGAAACUGUCAAUCUAGAGUACCGGAGAGGUAAGCGGAAUUCCUAGUGUAGCGGUGAAAUGCGUAGAUAUUAGGAGGAACACCAGUGGCGAAGGCGGCUUACUGGACGGUAACUGACGUUGAGGCUCGAAAGCGUGGGGAGGCAAAAACA
RNAcentral lists this ribosomal RNA (210 nucleotides) under uncultured bacterium. RNAcentral describes it as "partial 16S ribosomal RNA". It matches the Rfam family "Bacterial small subunit ribosomal RNA", at positions 568 to 777 of the family's 1533-position model. The record is from RNAcentral.